Molecule: long non-coding RNA, 1010 nt
Filed under: Brassica napus (rape)
Lineage: Eukaryota; Viridiplantae; Streptophyta; Magnoliopsida; Brassicales; Brassicaceae
Description: long non-coding RNA (BNAP_LNC012176)
Source: RNAcentral
UAUGUUUAUAUUUGUGUAGUCUCUCUCUCUCUCUCUCUCUCAUGCUAUUCUUUAUCUUUUAAACAUUCUUGUUUAUCUCUUCUUCUUUGCAUGUCCAAAUCUCAGUUUUUUUUUGUAAAUUUCAAAAGAAAAUUCAAUACAAUCCAAUCCAAGAAUGUUUGUUUUUCCUCAAGAGGUAUUCGAGGUAUGAAAACUAGUUUUUGCUACUAGGUCACAUGCAUAAAGAACAUGUUAGUUUUGAGUGUGAUUACACGGCGGCGCGUGCGUGGACUCGUCUUUGGAAGAAGUGGGUGGGCCAUUUCUGUUUUCACAUGCAAGGGUUGUUCCCAAGGAACAAUCAAGGGUCGCUUGGGAUCAUGAACUUAGAACCCGCCGUCUCUUCCACCGCUCUCCAUCAAAACUUUUAGGUAUAUGGUAAAACAAAGCUCCUUAUAUCAUCUUUAAAUCUAUUUUGAACAAAUACCUUAUUUUGAAGAAAAAAAAAACAAAUAAUAAAAAUAUGAAAACUCAAUUUUUAUGAUUAGAAACUAAAAUAUCAGUAGUUUUUAAAUCAAUAGAUGGAAAAAAAAACAUGCACUUUUAAAAUGCGGGUCAAAAUCUAGUUUUAGUUGAAAAAGAAUAGAGAAUCUCUAUAAUAUAUAUUGUGUUUGUUCCAAUGUAUUCUUAUACAAUAAUAUUACUCGAAAUUUUGAGUUAAAAUAUAAAUCAUUACUUAUUUUCCUAAUAUAGAAAAAUAGCAAUUUUAUUUUAGGAAAAUAAAUAAAAUAGAUUACAGUGGAUUUACCUUUACAUACUGUUACAUUUUAUUCAUCUUUCUUCUCCUUUUAAAAGGAGUAAUCGUUUGAAAAGAUUAACAAUGAGUGAAUUUUGCUGUGCAUGGUCAAGACGUGGUGAUGUUUCCAUAACAAGCUUUUAUCGUCAGUUACCAAUAUAUGAGCUGAAAGGCACAUUCUUAUUUUGAAUAUAUUGAAUGUUUUCGAGGAAAUCCGGUGAUGGACAAUGAUCUCUAA